GAAAAGCAGCGGAGAAGAGGAUCAAUUCAGUUGUCUCGCGAUACGCAGGAGAACUGAUUGCCUGGGACGUGGUCAAUGAGAACCUGCACUUCAGCUUCUUCGAGGACAACCUCGGCGAAAAUGCUUCCUCGAUGUAUUACUCGAUGGCAUACAAGCUCGAUCCGACUCCAAGAAUGUUCCUGAACGAGUACAACACCAUCGAGUACAGCGGAGAAGAGAAGGCGAGCCCGGGGAACUACAAGAAGAGGCUCCAGGAGAUAUUUUCGUACCCUGGGAAUGAGGAUAUACCGGCCGGGAUAGGAGUGCAAGGCCAUUUCGGCACCGGCCAGCCAAACUUGGCUUACAUGAGAUCAAGCCUAGACAUUCUGGCCACAACUGGUGUGCCCAUUUGGCUCACAGAGGUGUUUGUGGAUCCAGGAGCUAACCAGGUAUCGGCAUAUCUUAGACAAGAGGUGAUCAUGCCCUGGGCAGUUCACCCGGUCCGGUGGGCCGGAAGGGCAAAUGGGCCAGGUCAGGCGAGCGACUCUUUUUGCGGCUGGCCCGGCCAGCUCACCUUGGCCCAUUCGAACCCUAUCAAUUUCAGAUUUGCACACUUCGAUCAUUUUUCAAUAGGAGGAGCAGAAACAUGACUUAAAGCUUUUGGCUAUUGGUCAAUUGAAGACUUGAGGCCACGAUAAGGUCACGAACUCGCCGUCCGGUGAAAUUCAGACAUUGGAAAUGACACGUGGCAGCCGAUGCCUGAAUUCCAUCGACAGGGACUUGGAGAAGCGAGUGGGGCUUUUUUUAAAACCUUCAAUUGACCAAAAUAAAACCUUUAUAUUCUAAAUUGACCAACAGCCAAAAGGUUAAGUCGUGAUUUUGCACUUAUCUCCGCGCAAAUAUGAAAAAAAUUGGCACUCUACAAUCCAUAAAGGGAUUUCUGUCAUUGCAGGCUCAGAACUUGGAGGAGGUGCUCAGGGAGGCUUACUCCCAUCCCGGGGUGGAAGGGAUCAUAAUGUUCGCCGGCCCCGUGUACGCUGGCUACAAUUCCAUGGCGCUCGCGGACAAGAACUUCAACAACACUCUGGCCGGGGACGUUGUGGACAAGCUGAUCCAGGAAUGGAGAUCCAAGGACCUGGAGGCUCGCGCCGAUGAGGAAGGGUUCCUCAGCACUACACUGCUCCAUGGAGAGUAUGAGAUCUCUAUCACCGAUCCAAUUUCAAAUUCCUCUUCCACUUCAAGAUUUGAAGUGACCAGAGAUAGCUUUAGGAAAAUUUACCAUUUUCACAUAUAAUGAAUUGUCAGCUACAAGCUCCUAUGGAGCUAGGGAUAGUGCUUUUAUUGUUGAUUGAUAGUUGCUAAGUUAAGAUUAAUCAGAAAGGGUAGAUAUAAGGACCUUUAAAUGCCAAGCAUUUUAUUUUUUGGUCAAAAAAUGCAUUGCAUAUGUAAUUAUAACCUGAAAAGAUCAUGUCAAUACCAAGUAAAUAAUGUUUAGUCAUUUCUCGAAAGCUUCUGCAAUGUAAUAUCGUAUCAUGUACCAAUCCCACCGCUAGUGAUACCAAUCGAUAAAAAAGUCCAAUAAGCUAACAAAUCUCAUCCUCUAGACGGCGAAUGGUACAUUUUUGUCCUUAGGUAGAUGGAGUAUUGUCGACAAUUGAUCAUGAGAAUGGACAUUUCGAACGACAUACACGUUUUAAUUUGCCAGAUUUCGAGAUACUCUACAUCACAUAAAAAUCCCAAAUCCAAAAAAAAAAAAAAAAAAAAAGAACAAGUCGAAAGAUUUUUUUUUUUUUGGGCUUUAACUUUUAGAUAUGUAUUUAGUCUAACCAACUAAAAGAUUUUAAUUGGCAUUUAAAAUCACUCAAAAAUUAAGUAGAGGUACAAAAAUUUAAUGGGAUAUAUUCACUAGAAAUUUUAAAAUUUGUUACAAAAGUGUAAUUGAAUCCUAAAACUUUUAGAAUGUGCAAUUACAUCUUAAAACUUGUCAAAUUUAUGCAAUCAAGUCAUAACAUUAACUCCGUCCAAUUUGGUUAACGGAAAAUGCUAACGUGGCUUUUUUAUUAUUAUUUUAUCUCUCCUACAUGGCGCUAAUGUGGCUAAAACAAGCAAUAUAACUCCAAAACGAUGUCAUUUUGGUCCAAAUUUAAUUUUUAAUACAAAUAUUAAUUAAAUUAUAAAAAAAAAAAAGAGCGAACCAGCCGGCAAGCUCCCACUACCAUUGUCCCACCAAGAGCCAACGAUGGUGGGGUGAGGGUCAACCGUGGUCAAUAGGCCUCAGCCAAUGGCCAACGACCCUAGCCAAUUGCAAGCGAGCCCUCAUCAAGAUCUCAGGUGAGGGUCGCAACUAGGGAUGUGAAAAAGAACUAAGAACAACUCGAAACCAGACUAAAUUGGACCAAAACCGGUGGUUCCCAAGGGAAUUGGUUCAGUUCGCCUCACUGGAUCUAAACAAGCACACAACGUCGUCACCUCACUCAAAUCUAGCAAGAGGCUAGGUGUCACAGCCCUCGCUUGUGGCUAAUGAGUUACCGGCCAUCACAAAGGUCUCAAGGACUAGCGUGGGGGGGGGGGAGAGGAAUAGGAAUUAAAGAUAAAGAAUAAUGGAAAAUUCUUUUUAAAAAUCAAGAAUUUUUCACAUCAAUGCCAAUUGCGCAACAGAAGAUAGUCAAUGCUGAUUGGACCACUACAUUAGUGAUUUCUAAUCAAAAUUUGCCGAAAAUACUACAUUGGUAAAUUGUUAAAAGGUUUAUGAGUGAAUUGGACAAAUCAAAAUGUUUAAAAUUGAAUUCACCACUAUCCAAUAGAUUAAAAACUUUUUAUAUAAUUUUUUACAGCAAUUUUGUUCGGGCAAAGUUGAUGGUAUAAUGGGUUAUAGAAGAAACAAGGUUUUAUAUACCUAUCGAUAAAAUGGGUAUGAAAAUAUCAUAAUUAUUUAUCAAUCAGUAUGUUUUUUUAUUUGUAAUAUGACAAUAGAAUAAACGAGGGUAUGAUUGUAUCUCAUCAUAGGGUACAAUGGGUAAUAUCUUUCACAUUCCUAACUUGUUUCUGGUAUAACUCUAGGAAUACCAAAAAAAAAAAAAAACAUAGUUAUUCCAUUCUGCAAACCAAAACGUACAAUAGCCCUUCUAUUCCUAUUCUACAGUAUCCAUUUGCAGGUGAUGGUCAUUUCAUUCUUACCUCUUUUACCGCAUAACCUAUUGAUAGACCUUGGGGUUUAAAAUAUCUAAUCUGGAUGUUGAAUAAUUUCAGGACUGCGUUACAUUGGGUAACUACACUAAAGAGAAGGGAAAUCUACAAAGUGGGAUAAGAAUACCAUCUUCGCAGACCUCACAUUACAAAAGUCUCAUAUUUUGUAUCUCAAUGUAUAUACUUACUAUUUUUUGUUUUAAAUGCAUAUCAUGCUUUUGAAAAGUAGACUGGUUUUGGAACCACCUCACAUGCAAUAAACAACAUUUUAAAGGGGACGGUACCCACUCAUAGUAUAAGUUUUUUUAUUGUUGUCAAACUUACAGUUUGACCACAUCUAGGUCAUGUCCCAUUAAUUUCGCCCUAGAUAUCUCCUCAAAGCAAAAUUAUAAAAAGUCAAUUAUUUAUCCUAAAGUCCUUAACCAACUUAUUUAUGAUUUCCCAAUAUAAUCCCAACAAUACGCAAGCCACAGAGCACACGCACGUGCGAGUUUUACCAAAUUAAAAAAUUUAUGACCGAUUAGAUAAUUCUGCCUAUGCAUACCUACACCGAUCCCCUCAUAUCUAUGCUUUUCCCCCUCUUUUUAAGUGGAACCCUCUUUGCUGUACUCCAUGUUUAAGUGCACGCCACCCAUUGCCAAUGUCUCGAGUUCAAAAAAAGAAAAAGAAAAAAACAUUGCCAAUGUGUAAAACAAGAAACAGGAUCUACAUCCUGACUCGAAGGAUCAUCUUGGGGCCAAUUAAAGUCCACAGGCACAUGCCCUAAGUCCCUCUGCGCAACUUAAAUUGUGAAAAUGAAAAUGAUCUAUGCAUGAGCAUGGCCUCCAAGCAUUUACAAUUCCAGGGAACGAUUAUUACUCUUCAAAAGAAUUGCUUGGGAUCAGGCUAGGUAAGAUUGGAUGUAUUGGAGUUAGACUAGAAAUCCAUAAUUUUUUGGAUUUGUUCUUCAAAAGCGUUUCUUGUGGGAAUUGUUUUUACAGGGAAUGUUCCAUAGCAUCAAUCUCCGAUUGAUGGGAUGAAUAAAAAUGUGGAAAAAAGGAAAAAAUUUCGGUUUUUAAUAAGAACUGAACCGAAUGAAAACCGAAUUUUUCGGUUCAGUUUGGUUCGGUUUUUGACGCCCCUAACCCCAUGUUUAAGUGCACGCCAACCAUUGCCAAGUGUAACUCAAACAAGGAACACGAUCCUACAUAAUCCUGACUUGAAGGAUCACUUUGGGGCCAUUAAAGUCCCACAAGCAUUCGCCCUAAGUCCAUCCACACAACUUAAAUUGUAAAAUGAAAAAGAUCUAUUCAUGAGGAGUCGACCUCUAAGCAUUUUUGCAGGGAAUGUUGUACAGCAACAAUUUCCCAUUGAUGGGAUGAAUAUAACUAUGGAAAAGAGAGAAUAUUCUACUUUCUAUCUAGAUGCUUUUAUGUAUUUUCUAAUCAAAUGUCUGAAUUUUUAGUUUGUCUAAUUAAGUCCUUCUAUAUUCACAAACUUUCUAAUUAGCACAUUCUGACGGCAAAUCCAGCCAAAUUCAAUUGACAUAGAUCGUCAGGUGACAUCAUUGUACAAUUUGGAUACAAUUUUUUAUAAUGUAAACAGCCACGUUGGCAGCCAUAUUGGUUAGAUUUUUUCCCCAUCAUACUCCGAAGUUGUCUACAUCGACUACUUCCAUCCACGAUCGCAUAUUUGGAUUGCAUUAUAUUUCUGCAUCGUCCAAAAAUCACGAUGUCACCUAAAUUUUGUCAAAUUAGUGUAGGAGUGACAUGAUCAAAAUCCUUGUGAAAGUAAAAACAUUUGAUUAGAUAAAUUGAAGUACAUUAAUAUGAUUAGGCGCAAAAGCACAUGGAUGAAAAAUAAAACUUAUAUCGUCUUAAAAUGAAAUCAAGUAUCACUUUAUCGAUCAUGCUUGUAAAAUCUGGUACCUUCACUAGUUUCCAUUUCAUUUAACGCGUCUUUCCAAAACUUACCUUCAUGACUCAAUAUGCUUUUUCAGAGUAGACCCCACAAGUUUAACUUUUUCCCAAACUCGACCCCCCCUCGAUUUUCCAAUAUGUUCUACCGUCAGCAGAUCACAACAAAAAGACCCCCAUAAUGUGCAUACGGAGCAUGAGCGUCAUAAAGAUUAUGGUAACAAAUAUAGCAGAAGUCCACUUUCUGUUUGUGUCCAAAAAAGAAAAUUUUCCAACAUUUUCAAUGGUACUUUUAGGAUUCCCAAUUUGCCCUUCUUCUGAAAUUUCAAAGAAAAAUAUAAAAUGGGUCCUGCAUAAUUGAUUGUCGAUAUGAUAUUUAUAGAUCAUAUAAUAAUUUCCCAAAUAAGAUAUAUCUAAAGUUUAUUUUUAAAGAAUAUUUAUGUUGCACAUAGGCAUUGACGGGGUGUCACAGUCAAAAAAUUGCAAUCAACAUACUCAUCCAAGAAAGAAUUCCUUCAAGACAGCAGAACUGGCAAUCCAACAGUAAAAGGCAAGGAAAAGCUUGCUUCCAAUUCACAAAAGUGUCUUUUUUCUUUUGGCUUUAUUUCCUUGAGAGCAAUGCCAACUGCUAAGACUUGUUGAGUGAUAAGUCGGACUUUUGUUGGGUGGUGACUAUCGGCAAGGUAUUUCAAUGCCAACUCGUCAUUUGUCGCAUCACUCCGAGUAUACUUGUUUAGUGUACGGGUCUUAAUACAUAUGCAUUAUCUCUUUUCUUAAUGUUCUUUGAAUUCACGUCACAUCAUAUGAUUUGAUCUCAACAGCAACUUGGACACCGUUAUCCCCCGCAUUUGAUUAACACAUUUGCCAAAGUAUCACACAUCACCUAUCUAUAUAGUUUAGACAAAUCUCGUAUUCAUGUGUUCUACUUUGUGCAAGCUUUUGAUUGGACAGUCCGACAUCUAUCGGAACCAAAUUAAGUCCCAGUGUCAAGCUCCUUAUUUGUAAUUCCAUGCAAAAGAGGGUAUUGAAGUAUUCCACAUCACUUGUAGAAUAUGGUUGCAAGGGGGCCUUAUAUUUGUCUCCUUCCACCUAAUUUCUAUGCCAAUUUUGGGCUACUGCUCAGUUUGAGUAUUUAUAUAUGUGGGUUUGAGAAAAGAGUCACCGGACGUGUAAAAAACCGAGGAUGAUCAGCUUCAUCAGGUCACCAUUUAAGGAAACAAGGAUAUACCUGUUUCUUGGUUGACAGGCUGUCGCAUGCUUAUUCGCAUUCACAUGAGGCCUUUGCUCUUCUGACAUGAUUAUGAUUCUUACAGGCUUUUCUAGAACUGCUCUAAUUGCUGGAGCGAUGAGAAGUUCACCAGGAUUCAACAUGUUCUUGUUUCUUUCUCUCGCAUUUGCAUUGCUGUCCUUAGGAUCAGGUACCGAUUUCUCUCGUUUAUUUAUAUCUUCUUGAAUUAUUUUCUCUUGAUCAGUGACCUUGGAAGAGCAUUUUUACUUGAGUUCGGCAUCCCUUGCUCCAAGUGUUUUUUGAUAAAUUUUCUCGAUUGUUUCAAUGAAGUCGACUCUGAAAUUGGUUUAGCAGUUGUAAUGUAACAUGGACAGUUAAGCUAAUGCUUUCUUUUUCAAGCCAUUUCAGGGCAAAUCACACAGACUGUCUUCGAUGAUUAUUAUGAUUCAAUGGCGACAACACAGGCAAGAUCAAAUUCCUACGCACUAUUUGCGACUUCUGAGCACGUCAACAUGUGAAUAUCAGUUCAUAUUUCAUGAGCACUGCUGCUAAGUCAAAUUCAAGAAUUUGUCCUCAAAAUUGGGCGAUCAGAACUCGAGAUUGCCGCUCAAAAAAAUGAACUAGUUGAAUGAAUUACUCUAAUGAUUUGCUGAGUGGCACAAUUUCUGUGUUGCCUUGAAAAGAAAUAGUUAGGAGUUUCCAGGAACGACACUAAGCAGAUUAUGUAAUCCGAGUCUUACGUAUUCAAUUAUAGCAGUGUUUGACGGAGCCGGGGAGCCUUAUGUAUGGAGGUGGGGUCAUACUGAACCCAGAGUUCAUCCACGGCACUUCCGCAUGGACCUUGUUUGGGCAAGGAGCAACUGAAUUGCGCAUAUCGCAUACCAACAACAGGUUCAUGGUGGCUCGCGAUAGGAAACGCCCGUCAGACAGUUUCUCUCAGAAAGUCCAGCUCGAGAAGGGAAUGUUCUACGCAUUUUCUGGUAAUUAUGCGCUCUGCUGUUUCUAGAGAGAGUACACGUUGAAAUUGUUCAUGUGACGCCGUAAAUUAUGUGAUAUGCCAGUUCACCGUUCACCGGAUAUACUCGUAUAGUUUUGUUUAUUUGUGAAGAAUUGCUAAUUGCAACAUUAAGAAAUGUGAAAACGCGAUUGUUGACCGAGCUAGGAUGAUUUGUUGCUGUCUUUGCAGCUUGGGUACAAGUAAGUCAAGGAAGCGAGACGGUAUCGGUGGCGUUUCGAACUGGAGAUGGCGAGUUUGUCCGUGGAGGCAGUGUUGUGGCCGAGCAAGGGUGCUGGUCUUUGCUGAAAGGAGGCAUCGCCGCGAAUUCUUCGAGCACAGCUGAUGUUCUUUUCGAGGUGAAGGGCAUUCAACUUUCCAUUACAUCUACUUCUGAAUCAUUGAAAAGUUGCAAGACACGAGUGCUAGGCAUAUGUUGAUUCUGAUUGUGUUGUGACAGAGCAAGAAUAUCUCGACAGAGAUAUGGGUCGACAAUGUCGCAUUGCAGCCGUUCUCGAAGAAGCAAUGGAGGAAUCACCAAGAAGAAAGCAUAGAGAAGGUAAUACGAAAAGUUUUUUUAUACGAAAAGUUUGUAUGAAGUUAGUUCGAAAAACAUAAAGGAUCGUCGCAAACUUCGAUCUCACAGGUACGGAAAAGCACAGUGAGGUUCCAGAUAACUUCUGUGAACGAAAGAGGACUCGGGGUCGGAGGAGCCAAUGUUCUCAUCAAACAGACCAAACCAGGCUUUCCAUUCGGGUGCGGCAUGAACUUCCACAUCCUUGAGAGCGCCGAUUACCAGAACUGGUUCGCGUCGCGAUUCAGAUACACCACUUUCACCAACGCAAUGAAGUGGUACAGCACGGAGGCAAAACAAGGCCAAGAGAACUACACAAUAGCCGACGCAAUGCUGAAGUUUGCGCAAGAUAAUAACAUUUCGAUCCGAGGCCACAAUGUCUUCUGGGACAACCAGAAGUACCAGCCCGAUUGGGUCAAGACCCUUGCCCCCGAUGAUCUGCGAAAAGCAGCGGAGAAGAGGAUCAAUUCAGUUGUCUCGCGAUACGCAGGAGAAUUGAUUGCCUGGGAUGUGGUCAAUGAGAACAUGCACUUCAGCUUCUUCGAGGACAACCUCGGGGAAAAUGCUUCCUCGAUGUAUUACUCAACGGCAUACAAGCUCGAUCCGACCCCGAGAAUGUUCCUGAACGAGUACAACACCAUCGAGUACAGCGGGGACGAGAAGGCAAGUCCGGGGAACUACAAGAAGAGGCUCCAGGAAAUAUUUUCGUACCCCGGGAAUGAGGAUAUACCGGCCGGGAUAGGAGUGCAAGGCCAUUUCGGCACUGGCCAGCCAAACUUGGCAUACAUGAGAUCAAGCCUAGACAUUCUGGCCACAACUGGUGUGCCCAUUUGGCUCACAGAAGUGUCUGUGGAUCCAGGAGCUAACCAGGUAUUGGCAUAUCUUAGAGGCGAUCAUGCCCUUGGCAGCUCGCCCAGUCCGAUGGGCCCGAAAGGCAAAAUGUGGUGGGUCAGGCGAGCGAUUCUCUUUUUGCGGCUGGCCCGGCCCGCUUACCUUGGCCCAUUCGAACUCUAUCAAUUUCAUGUUUGCACAUUUCGAUAAUUUUUCAAUAGGAGAAGAGUAUAAACAUUACUUAAAGCUUUUGGCCAUUACUCAAUUGAAGACUUGAGGCCAUGAUAGGGUCUUGAGUCUGCCGUCGAUGGAAUUUAGACAUUGGAAAUGACGCAUAGCAACCGAUGCCUGAAUUCCACCUAGGGAGACCUCGAAAAGCGAGUGGAGCUUUUUUUAAGACCUUCAAUUGAACAAAAUGAAACAUUUAUAUUCUCAAUUGACCAAUGGUCAAAAGGUUAAGUGCAUGCAUCGCCUUUUUUUUUUCAAUGAAUGAAAGUGCAAAUAUAAAAAAAUUGGCACUCUACAAUCCAUGAAAAGAUUUCUGGCAUUGCAGGCUCAGUACUUGGAGGAUGUGCUCAGGGAGGCUUACUCCCAUCCCGGUGUGGAAGGGAUCAUAAUGUUUGCCGGCCCCAUGUACGCCGGCUUCAACUCCACGGCACUCGCGGACAUGAACUUCAACAACACGCUGGCCGGGGACGUCGUGGACAAGCUGAUCCAGGAAUGGAGAUCCGAAGACCUGGAGGCUCACGCUGAUGAGGGAGGGUUCUUCAGCACCACACUGCUCCAUGGAGAGUAUGAGAUCACCAUCACCGAUCCAAUCUCAAAUUCCUCUUCCGCUUCAAGAUUUGAAGUGACCAGAGAUAGCUUCAGGAAAAUUUACCAUUUUCACAUAUAAUGAAUUGUCAGCUACAAGCUCCUAUGAAGCUAGGGAUAGUGCUUUGAUUGUUGAUUGAUAAUUGCUAAGUUAAGAUUAAUAAGAGAGAGUAGACAUAAGGACCCUUAAAUGCCAGGCAUUUUUUUUUUUGGUCGAAAAAUGCGUUGCGGGCGCUCCUGCAGUGUAAUAUUGUAUCUUGUACUUAUCCCACCGCUAAUGAUACCAAUCGAUAAAAAAAAAAUAAUAAAUCAAUGAUACCAAUCGAUAAAAAAAAAAAGGCCAAUAAGCUAACAAAUCUCAUCCUCUGGAUGGCAAAUGGUACAUUUUUGUCCUUAGGUAUUGUAGACGGAGUAUUGUCGGCAACUGAUCAUGAGAAUGGACCUUUCGCACAACAUACAUGUUUUAAAUUUGCAAGAUUUCGAGAUACUCUGCAUCACGUAAAAAUCCCAAAUCCAAAAAACAAGGAACAGGUUGAUUUUUCUUUUUUUUCUUUUUUUGGCUUUGACCUUUAGAUUUAGUCUAACCAAUUAAAAGCUUUUAAUUGGCAUUUGAAAUCACUCAAAAAUUAAGUAGAGGUACAAAAAUAUAAUGGGAUAUAUUCACUAGAAAUCUUAAAACUUAUUAUCAAAGUAUAAAUAAAUCUUAAAACUUUCGGAAUAUGCAAUCAAGUCCUAAAAUUUGUUAAAUUAGUGCAUUCAAAUCAUUCCAUUAAGUUUGUUUAAUUUGGUUAAGGAAAAUGCUGACUUAGCUUUUUUUAUUAUUAUUCCAUCUCUCCUACGUGGCGCUAAUGUGGCUAAAACAAGCAAGAUAACUCCAAAAUGAUGUCAUUUUGAUCCAAAUUUUAUUUUUAAUAUAAGUAUUAAUUUAAUUAAUUUUUUUCAAAAGAGCGAACUAGCUCGUAGGCCUUGCUACUGCUGUCCCACCAAGAGCCGAUGAUGGUGGGGUGAGGGUCAACCAUGGUCAACAGGCCUUGGUCAGUGGCCAACGACCCUAGCCAAUCACAAGCAAGCUCUUAUCGAGAUCUCUAGCGAGGGUUGCAAUUAGAGACGUGCAAAAAAAUCAAGAAGAGCCAGGAACCGGCUGUUCCCAAGGGAAUUGGUUCUGCUCGCCUCGUUGGAUCUAGACAAGCUCACAAUGCCAUCGCCUCACUCAAAUCUAGCAAGAGGCUAGGGUGUCGCAGCCCUCGCUUAUGGCCGGUGAGUUACCAGCCAUCACCUAGGUCUCAGGGACCAAUAGGGGAAAAUAGGAAAUAAAGAUAAAAAAAUGGAAAAUUCUUUAAAAAAAUUCAAGAAUUGUCCAUAUUAAUGCCGAUUGUGCCACGUAAGAUAGUUAAGGUUAAUUGGAUCAUUAGGUUAGCGAUUUCAAACAAAAAUUUGUCGAAAUGACUACAUUGAUAAAUUGUUAAAAGUCUUAGUAGUGAAUUGAGCAAAUCAAAAUGUUUAGAAUUGAAUUGACCGCUAUCCAAUGAAUUUAAAACUUUUUAUUUAAUUUUUACAGCAAUUUUGUUUGGGCAAAGUUGAUGGUAUAAUGGGUAAUAGAAGAAACAAGGUUUCUAUACCCAUCAAUAAAAUGGGUAUGGAAAUAUCAUAAUUAUUUAUCAAUCAAUAUGUUUUUUUUAUUUGUAAUAGGACAAUAGAAGAAAGGGCUAAUUUUGCUGGAGGGAGGACCCGAUGGGUCGGUUCUCGAUGGCAUCGACAUGGGAGGCCAUUAGGCAAAAGAGGAGUCGUGUCUUUUGGCAUGUGUUCAUCUAGAACAAUGCAAUCACUCCUCGUUACCAGUUAAACCUCUGGAUUAUGGCUAAGAGCAGAGUUCCCACUCAAGCUCUCUUAUUGUCGUAUGGCAGAAUUGACACUGGUUCUUGUGUGUUUUGCAAUGAGUUGUUUGAUUCCAUGGACCAUCUGUUUUUUGGAUGUCGUGUCAUGGCCGGUAUUGCUUUCUUCUGGGUGGCUAGAUGCAAUUUGCCCUGGCGUAAUAGGUCUUGGAGGGAGAAUCUCCAUUGGGCCACCACUUUUUUGAUGGGUAAGGAUUUCUACAAGUGCAUCGCUUGCUUCUCUUUUGAUGCAUUAUGUCACAUUAUUUGGGGGAACAGGAAUAGCAUCAUUUUUAGGGACCAACUUCUUACUGUUCCGGCUAUAAAGAACCACUUGUUCAAAGUGGUUAGAGAUAAAGCUAUCACAUUUAAGAACGUUAAUGAUAAUUUCAGGAACAGAAGGUUGCGGCGGAGUUGGGGCCUUGACCCAAUUAUUUUCUCUGGGGACCCCUAACCCUGCCGUGCCAUUGCUAGGGGUUUUCUUCUAAGCUACGGUGGUUGUUUUUGCAGCGGUGGUCUCCCUCCUCCUUUGAGGAGUUUUUGUUCUGGUCGUCGGUUUUUCAUGCCAUGAUUGUCUCUUGUUAGCUUGGCUUCCUUUUCCUGGUUGCCUUGUGUUGUUGCUUUUACAUCUCGGCAUCCGUCCACUCAUUAUGUCCUCUCAUCUUGAGUGUAUGUUUUCAAUGCCAUGACCUUUUGUACAUUUGGCCUUUCUCCUAUAUAUUUAUUACCUCUUACCAUAAAAAAAAGGGGGGGUUAAUACAUUGAAAAGCCCCAAAUUGGUACAUGUGUAACAAAUUUACCCCAAAUUAAUUUUUUAACUACCAAAAAUCCCAAAUUUGUACACUUUUGACAAAUUUACCCCAAACUAGUACACUUAUGAUAAUUUACCCUAUGAAAAAUUUUACUGUCAAAUUAGAAAGUUGAAUGAUAUAUGACAGUUAACUAGUGUAUCAAUUUACAAUUUUACUCUCCGUUUGUUACAUUUAUACAAUUUUUUGUAAUUUUUUGUGGUAUUAAUCCAAUUUAACAGAGGGUAUAUUUGUCACAAGUAUGCCAGUUUAAGGUUUUUGGCAGUUGAAUAAAUUAGUUUAUGAUAAAUUUGUCAUAAAUAUACUAGUUUGGAGAUUUUAUGAUCAGCUGGGAUAAAUUUAACAUAGAUGUACCAGUUUUGGGUUUUUCAUAAUUAAAAAAUUAAUUUAGAGUAAAUUUGUUACACGUGAAUCAGUUUAAGAGAAGGGAAAUCUAUGAAGUGGGAUAAGAAUCCCAUCUUCGCAGACCUCACAUUACAAAAGUCUCAUAUUUUGUAUCUCAAUGUAUAUAUUUACUAUUUUUUGAAAAAUGCAUAUCAUACUUUUGAAAGGUAGACUGGUUUCGGAACCACCGUAAAUCACAUGCAAUAAACUACAUUUUAAAGGGAAUGGUACCCACUCAUAGUAUAAGUUUUUUAUUGUUGUCAAACUUACAGUUUGACCACAUCUAGGUCAUGUCCCAUUAAUUUCACCCUAGAUAUCUCCUCAAAGCUAAAUUAUAAAAAGUCAAGUAUUUAUCCUAAAGUCCUUAACCAACUUAUUUGCAUAUAUAAUUUCCCAAUAUAAUUCCAACAAUAUGCGAGCCACAGGGCACAUUCACAUGCGAGCUUUACCUAAUUACAAAUAUCUAAUUCUUGUGCAAAUUUUGGUAAUGCACUUCUAUUUUUUCUUAUAUUCUUAUGCAUAAUUCUUCAAUGAACUUAUGCACCCGAAGAAUUGCUUGUACUGAUAUUGCUAUUCAAUCAAAAUUGCAAUUUUAUGUCUCAUUUUUUCUUUUAAAUGAGAGGAUAAACCGAGGGUCUAGAUCCACACUAAAUAAGAAAUCACCUAAACUGUAGAGGACAUUUUGAUUGUUGUGAAUAUUUACUUUGCUAUAAUUUUAUGCAUAUUUGUAUAUUUGUCUCGUGAAGAUUCCUAUCCACACUAACAUUUAGAACAACAUAAGAAAUAUGGUCUUAAACUUAUGCAAUGCAUGAGCAUCUUGCUAGCAAACAUGUAAUAGUGCUAAAACUAUGCUUGGCACGAGGUUGAGCCAUGUGACAUUUGUUAGAAAAACUCCUUACCUACUUUGAAGAUGACUAAACACUUUGUAUGAACUCUCUCUCUCUCUCUCUCUAUAUAUAUAUAUAAUUAAGUGCGUAGAGAUCCUCUUGAUACACAAGAUGAUAAGUAGACAAUGUUAAGAAUGGGACCUCGGUGCUAAUGGAAGGAGAACAAGAUACCAACCAAUAAGUGUUACAAUUGGAAGCACCUCUUGAUUUCGACAAACAAACGAGGGACAUGAAUGAAAAAGUUGUGGAGUUUGAUGAAGGAAAGUGCCGUCAAAACCAAAAUCCAAAGUUCAGAGGAUCCAAGCAAAAAUACCACUUUGGCGUCUCAAGCUGUUUCGACAACCUUAAUGAGGGAUUCUCAAAGGAAAUACCCAAAAUUGAUGGAGAAAAGGCACCCUAUUUAAAGCAACCGUCCAACACACCAUGCACGUGCUAUUAAAGUUAAAGUCCACUCCACCUAUAUUAUAAAGUGUUAAUAAUCACUUUUAUAACAUGUUUUCUAGAUGUGGUCUCGUAGAAUGAAAAUUACAACCUUGAUACUUAUAUUUCGAAAAAUUAUCAGAAAAAAUUCCUAAAAUUAAUGUACAAAUAUCAAUUUAGUAUUAAACAUUUUCAUUUUAUCAAACGAGUCAUAAACUGUCUGUGAUGGAAAAUUUAAGUCCCCAGGCGGCGUGUGCCUAGGGACUUUAAUUCCCCUCAUAUCCAUGCUUUUUCCCUCUCUUUUCAAGUGGAACCCUCCUUGUCGUACUCCAUGUUUAAGUGCACGACAACCAUUGCCAAUGCGUAAGACAAGGAACAGGAUCCUACAUCCUGACUUGAAGGAUCAUCUUGGGGCCAAUUAAAGUCCCCAGGCACACGCCCUAAGUCCCUCCUCACAACUUAAAUCGUGAAAAUGAAAAUGAUCUAUACAUGAGCAUGGCCUCCAAGCAUUUACAAUUCCGGGGAACGAUUAUUACUCUUCAAAAAAAUUGCUUGAGAUCAGGCUAGGUAAGAUUGGAUAUAUUGGAGUUGGACUAGAAAUCCAUAAUUUAUUGGAUUUAUUCUUCGAAAGCGUUUCUUGUGGGAAUUGUUUUUGCAGGGAAAGUUCCAUAGCAACAAUCUCCCAUUGAUGGGAUGAAUAUAAAUGUGGAAAAAAAAAGGAAAAAUUCUUCUUUUUGUCCCAAUACUUUUACGCAUUUUCUAAUCAAGUCUCUCAAAUUUUAGUUUGUCUAAUUAAGUCCUUUUACUUUCACAAACUUUCUAAUCAUACCACUUUGAUGCCAAAUUCGGCCGAAUUACAGUGCAUAAUCAAACUCGGCCAGGAAGUCUUGCCACCGAGCUUGUAGCCCAAACUUAAUUGACAUGGACCGUGGGGGGAAAUGUCCAUGUUGGCAUCCAUAUUGGCUAGAUUUUGUCCAAGUCAUACUCCGAAGUUGUCUACAUCGACUGAAUUUUUCCUCUCAGGAUCACGUAUUUUAAAUGCAUCAUACUUUUGUAGCGUCCGACGAACACGUCGCCUGAAUUUUGUCGGAUUGGGUGUAGGAAUGACAUGAUCAAAAUACUUGUAAAAGUAGAAGCAUUUGAUUAGACAAAUUAAAUUACAUCGACUUGAUUAGAAAAUGAGCAAAGUACAUAGAUGAAAAAUAAAACCUUGUCUUAAAAUAAAAUCAAGCAUCACUUUGUCAAUCAUGCUUGUGAAACCAUGUAUCUUCACCAGUUUCCAUUUCAUCUAACGCGUCUUUCCAAAACUUAACUAGAUGACUCGAAAUGCUUUUCAGAAUAGACCCCACAAGUUUAACUUUUUCCCAAACUCGAUCCCUCCUCGAUUAUCCGAUAUACCCUCCCAUCACGAGAUCAUAACAAAAAGGCCCCUUUAAUGUGCAUACGGAAGCAUCAGCGUCAUAAAGAUUAUGGCAACAAAUAUAGCAAAAGUCCACUUUCUUUUGUGCCCAAAAAGAAAUUUUUCCAACAUUUUCAAUGGUAGUUUAAGGAUUGCAAUUUGUCCCUUCUUCUGAAAUUGCAAAGAAAAAUAUAAAAGGGUCCCGCAUAAUUAAUUGUCGAGAUUAUAUUUAUAGAUCAUGUGUCACAGUCAGAAAAUUGCUGGGGUGUAUAUAUCUAAAAUUUAUUUUUAAAGAAUAUUUAUGUGACGUAUAGGUAUUGAUGGGGUGUCACAGUCAGAAAAUUGCAAUCAACAUAUUCAUCCAAGAAAGAAUUCCUUCAAGAUAGCAGAGCUGGGCAAUCCAACAGUAAAACGGAAGGAAAAGCUUGCUUGCAAUUCACAGCAGUGUCUUUGUCUUUGGGUUAUAUUUCCUUGAGAGCAAGCUUAACUGCUAAGAGUUGUUGAGUGAUAAGUUAGACUCUUGUUGGGCGGUGAAUAUCGACAAGAUAUUUCAAUGCCGACUUGCAGUUUAUCGCAUCAUUCCGAGUGUACUUGUUUAGCGAACCGGUCUUCGUAUUUGUGAAUGACCAUCCAUUUUCUUAAUGCUCUUCAAAAUCACAUCAAAUCAUAUAAUUUGAUCUCAGCAGCAACGUGGACGCUGUUAUCUCCCACAUUCGAUUAGAACUUUUGCCAAAGAAUCGCACAUCACCUACCUGUAUAGUUUCGAUAGGCCUCCUAUUCAUGUAUACUCCUUCAUGCAAACUUUUGAUUGGACAUUAUGACAUGUAUUAGAACCGGAUUUUGUCCCGGUAUCAGGUUCCUUAUUCAUCAAUUUCGUGCAAAAAAAGUGUAUUAAAGUAUUCCGCAUCACUUGUUUAAUGUAGUUUCAAGGGGGCAUAUAUUUAUGGGUUUGAGAAAAGAGUCACGGGACAUAUAAAAAACUGAGGAUGAUCAGCUUCAUCGGGUCACCAUUUCAGGAAAUGAGGAAAUGCCUGUUUCUAGGUUGACAGGCUGUAAUUCACAUGAGACCUUUGCUCUUCUGACAUGACUAUGAUUCUUCCAGGCUUUUCUAGGACUGCUCCAAUUGCUGGAGCGAUGAGAACUUCGCCAGGAUUCAACAUGUUCUUGUUUCUUUCUCUCGCAUUUGCAUUGCUGUCCUUAGGAUCUGGUACCGAUUUCUCUCGUUCACUCCAUCUUCUCAAAUUGUUUUCGAUUGAUCAUUGACCUCGGAGAGCAUUUUCGCUUAAGUUUUAGCAUCCCUUGCUCCAUGUGUUUGAUAAAUUUUCUUGAUUGUUUCAAUGAAGUUGACUGUGACAUUGAUUUACCAAUUGUAAUGUAACAUGAACAAUUGAGCUAAUGCUUUCUCUUUGAAGCCAUUUCAGGGCAAAUCAUGCAGACUGUCUUCGAUGAUUAUUACGAUUCAUCAGCGACAACACAGGCAAGAUCAAAAUCCUACACACUAUUUGCCACUUUUGAGCACAUUCGUAUUUCAUGAGCACUGCUGUUGAGUCAAUUCAAGAACUCGUCCACGAAAUUGGGCGAUCAGAACUUGAGAUUGCCAUCUGAAAAACGAACAAGUUGAAUGAAUUACUCCAAUGAUUUGCUGAUCAGCGCAAUUUUAUUGUGGCCUUGAAAAAGAAAAAGAGUUUCCAGGAAAGACACUGAGCAGAUUCUGUGAUCGGCAUCUUACGUAUUCGAUUAUGGCAGUGUUUGGCAGAGCCAGGGAGUCUUAUGUAUGGAGGUGGGGUCAUACUGAACCCAGAGUUCAUCCAUGGCACUUCCGGAUGGACUGUGCUUGGGGAAGGAGCGACCGAAGUGCGCAUAUCGCAUACCAACAACAGGUUCAUGGUGGCACGCGAUAGGAAACGCCCAACAGACAGUUUCUCUCAGAAAGUCCAACUCGAGAAGGGAAUGUUCUAUGCAUUUUCCGGUAAUUACUCGAUCUGCUGUUUCCAGUGAGAAUGGUUACGUCGGAGCUGUUCAUGUGAAGCCGUAAAUUAUGUGAUGUGGGUUCCCCAUUCACCCGAUAUACUUGUAUAGCGUUUUGUUUAUUUGUGAAGAAUUGCUAAUCGCAGCAUCUCGAAAUGUGAAAAUGCGAUUAAUGACGAAGCUAGGAUGAUCUGUUGCUGUUUGCGCAGCUUGGGUACAAGCCAGUCAAGGAAGCGAGACGGUAGCGGUGGUGUUUCGAACUAGAGAUGGCAAGUUUGUCCGUGGAGGCAGUGUCGUGGCCAAGCAGGGGUGCUGGUCUUUGCUGAAAGGAGGCAUCGCCGCAAAUUCUUCGAGCCCAGCUGAUGUUCUUUUCGAGGUGAAGCUCCUUCAAAUUUCGGUUACAAUCUACUUCAGAAAGACGAGAAUUCGACUGAGUUAAUGCUGGUCUAGUGUUUUCUUUUGUUCGUCCGGAUCAUUGAAAAAUUGCAAGGUACAUGAGUGCUUAUAAUUCCAGGCAUAUGCUGAUUCGGAUUUUGUUGUGGCAGAGCAAGAAUACCCUGACGGAGAUAUGGGUCGACAAUGUCGCGUUGCAGCCGUUCUCGAAGAAGCAAUGGAGGAAUCGCCAAGAAGAAAGCAUAGAGAAGGUAACAUGAAAAGUUUGUGCCAAGUUAGUUCGAAAAACUUGAAGGACCGUCACGAACUUCGAUCUCGCAGGUACGGAAGAGCACAGUGAGGUUCCAGAUAACUUCUGCGAACGAAAGAGGACUCGGGGUCGGAGGAGCCAAUGUUCUCAUCAAACAGAUCAAACCGGGCUUUCCAUUCGGGUGCGGCAUGAACUUCCACAUCCUCGAGAGCGCCGAUUACCAGAACUGGUUCGCAUCGCGAUUCAGAUACGCCACUUUCACCAACGCAAUGAAGUGGUACAGCACGGAGAAGGAACAAGGCCAAGAGGACUACUCAGUGGCCGACGCAAUGCUGAAGUUCGUGCAAGAUAACAACAUUUCGAUCCGAGGCCACAAUGUCUUCUGGGACGAUCCCAAGUACCAGCCCGAUUGGGUCAGGUCCCUUUCACCCGAUGAUCUGCGAAAGGCAGCAGAGAAGAGGAUCAAUUCUGUCGUCUCGCGAUACGCAGGAGAACUGAUUGCCUGGGAUGUGGUCAAUGAGAACCUGCACUUCAGCUUCUUCGAGGACAACCUCGGGGAAAAUGCUUCCUCGAUGUAUUACUCGAUGGCAUACAAGCUCGACCCGACCCCGAGAAUGUUCCUGAACGAGUACAACACCAUCG
This 18523-nucleotide long non-coding RNA is filed under the name Eucalyptus grandis. Its description in RNAcentral is "long non-coding RNA (EGRA_LNC004185)". The record is from RNAcentral. Lineage: Eukaryota; Viridiplantae; Streptophyta; Magnoliopsida; Myrtales; Myrtaceae.